UCAAAACUUUUAAAAAGCCUUUUUUUUUUGUUUUUUAAUGGUUAAACCAAUAGAAAAAAACUCUUCCCU
This 69-nucleotide transfer RNA is filed under the name Rhodomonas sp. CCMP768. The record is from RNAcentral. Lineage: Eukaryota; Cryptophyceae; Pyrenomonadales; Pyrenomonadaceae.